AAGCCGAACCGCGAGCUGGAACAACACAGGGAUGGACACAGAAAAUCCACCUAUUAUUCCCGCUUCAUGUGCUCAUUCUCAAAAACUGACUCUAGUCUUCAAUCUGGAGCCGUUUGUAAAUAUAGAAACGUCUAUAUUUCGGGACUAGCGCACCCAGAAACCACUUUUCUGUUUGUAAACAGUAUUAACGGCUUAUUGAACCAUCUUUCAACUCUGAUAUGAGAUAUUGUCAGCAGCGCUGAAUGGGUCGCUCCAGUCUGCCCUGGCUGUCCAAUGGCAGAGAAGCUCAGGGAUGGGAGCCCCCUAUUGGCUCCCCACAUGAUCGAUCAGGGGCUGAUUGAUCGGUUUUAGGCCACAUUUGCGAGGAGGCGCAAAACACAACAUCGUCCGCGAAUGGAAAACACACACUUUGCGUUUUCUGUCAGCUCAUAAAGGCUGUAUAUUCACCAAAACACAGAACAUUUGACCAAUAAAUCUCUCUCUCUCUCUCUACACAUGCAUCCCCCCCCCCCCCACACACACACACACACACAUCAAUUUUCACAUCUCUGACUUAAUUACUUACAUCAUAAUGCAUUCACACUUAAGAUUCACAAAACUAAACAGACUCACACUCAGAUUAAAACUCUUAACAACUUUCUUCUCUCAGAGAAGUUAUUCAAUUUCACUUUUGUUGCUUUAUGAAGCGUUCACUUGAGUUUCACAGUUGCAGAGAUUGUAAAAGUUUGGUCAAAUAUUGAUGAGCUUUAAUUUAUGGAGGAGAAACUUAUAUUCUCGAGUAAUUUCAAGAAAAGCUAUGACAGCAUUGAGUAAUGUGCGGAUGUAAAUGAACAAAAUAGUAUGAAUUUACUACGUUAUCUGGUUGUAUAUGAUUCCUCGCCGGGAUAUAAAGGGCUACAAAUCUUAUUUAAUUUAGUCUAUCAAAGUUUUUUUUUAAUUAAAAAAAGAGUUUAACUACCUCUGCAUAAAUCUGCAUAAAAUAUUUAUGAUAAAUUUCAUGACAUAUGAAGUAAUAUAAAAGCGGGGCAAGUUUCAUGGACAUGAUUAGUUUUCAGAUAAGACGCAUAUGUAAAAGGUAUCUAUGAAUCCCAAUGGAUUUUUGUUUAUUUUUAAGGUUGUUUUCCACAUGAUGAUCACCGACUAGAGGUUUACUCAACUUUUUUUAUUAUUUCUCAACCGACACACGUGAACGGAGUGUGUGUGAAAGAGGCACAUUAUCUCCUGAUUAUGGUCGGUGACAGCCUGCUUUAAAGUUUUUUCUUCGCGUGCAGCGCGUCCAGUCAUCGAUCAUCUGCCCCCGGUGCCACAAAUUGUGUCAUAACAUGAUAAUGCGGCUUCACACAUUCGGCGGUGAUUCUUGUGGUAAAACCCGAGCGGUGGGAAACGAUGGGACAAAUGUACAGGCAUGAAAUGACUAUCACAGCCUCCUGCAGUCCGGCAGGCGAAGCUCCGGGGCGCGAACAGCAGAGAAGCCACGAAGCCACGCAGGACGCACGGACUUUUACGCACAGAGAUACCGGAUCAUAUAAUAAACUGGGUUGACUUGUGCUCGUCGAGUUUGUUAAUUCAGUUAUUUAUUGGUGAGUAGAAGCUCUCCUUCUCUCAUUCUUUUUUUACGGCACAUUAAAUAAUUAAAACCCUUAUUAUUGUCACUAA
Molecule: long non-coding RNA, 1656 nt
Organism: Micropterus salmoides (largemouth bass)
Lineage: Eukaryota; Metazoa; Chordata; Actinopteri; Centrarchiformes; Centrarchidae
Exons: 2
Source: RefSeq, a predicted model, not a curated record